This 1116-nucleotide ribosomal RNA is filed under the name Escherichia coli. RNAcentral's name for it is "partial 23S ribosomal RNA". It matches the Rfam family "Bacterial large subunit ribosomal RNA", at positions 61 to 1220 of the family's 2925-position model. The record is from RNAcentral. Lineage: Bacteria; Pseudomonadati; Pseudomonadota; Gammaproteobacteria; Enterobacterales; Enterobacteriaceae.
CUAAUCUGCGAUAAGCGUCGGUAAGGUGAUAUGAACCGUUAUAACCGGCGAUUUCCGAAUGGGGAAACCCAGUGUGAUUCGUCACACUAUCAUUAACUGAAUCCAUAGGUUAAUGAGGCGAACCGGGGGAACUGAAACAUCUAAGUACCCCGAGGAAAAGAAAUCAACCGAGAUUCCCCCAGUAGCGGCGAGCGAACGGGGAGGAGCCCAGAGCCUGAAUCAGUGUGUGUGUUAGUGGAAGCGUCUGGAAAGGCGCGCGAUACAGGGUGACAGCCCCGUACACAAAAAUGCACAUGCUGUGAGCUCGAUGAGUAGGGCGGGACACGUGGUAUCCUGUCUGAAUAUGGGGGGACCAUCCUCCAAGGCUAAAUACUCCUGACUGACCGAUAGUGAACCAGUACCGUGAGGGAAAGGCGAAAAGAACCCCGGCGAGGGGAGUGAAAAAGAACCUGAAACCGUGUACGUACAAGCAGUGGGAGCCUCUUUAUGGGGUGACUGCGUACCUUUUGUAUAAUGGGUCAGCGACUUAUAUUCUGUAGCAAGGUUAACCGAAUAGGGGAGCCGAAGGGAAACCGAGUCUUAACUGGGCGUUAAGUUGCAGGGUAUAGACCCGAAACCCGGUGAUCUAGCCAUGGGCAGGUUGAAGGUUGGGUAACACUAACUGGAGGACCGAACCGACUAAUGUUGAAAAAUUAGCGGAUGACUUGUGGCUGGGGGUGAAAGGCCAAUCAAACCGGGAGAUAGCUGGUUCUCCCCGAAAGCUAUUUAGGUAGCGCCUCGUGAAUUCAUCUCCGGGGGUAGAGCACUGUUUCGGCAAGGGGGUCAUCCCGACUUACCAACCCGAUGCAAACUGCGAAUACCGGAGAAUGUUAUCACGGGAGACACACGGCGGGUGCUAACGUCCGUCGUGAAGAGGGAAACAACCCAGACCGCCAGCUAAGGUCCCAAAGUCAUGGUUAAGUGGGAAACGAUGUGGGAAGGCCCAGACAGCCAGGAUGUUGGCUUAGAAGCAGCCAUCAUUUAAAGAAAGCGUAAUAGCUCACUGGUCGAGUCGGCCUGCGCGGAAGAUGUAACGGGGCUAAACCAUGCACCGAAGCUGCGGCAGCGACGCUUAUG